Molecule: long non-coding RNA, 583 nt
Organism: Cygnus olor (mute swan)
Lineage: Eukaryota; Metazoa; Chordata; Aves; Anseriformes; Anatidae
Exons: 3
Source: RefSeq, a predicted model, not a curated record
GUUAGUAGCUCUAGUUGUCACAUAAAAUCUCUAGAAAGUAGGUGUUUGUUUCCUGAAAGAUUUCAGCAUAACUUCUUUGUAUAUAUUCUCCUAUCUUGUCAUUAUCCAUUUUGUCUCCUUAUCUGCCCUUUGUCACAGAAUUUGUAUCUCCAGAUGAACCCUGAGUAGAGAAAAAAGGAGAGAAAGAGCUGCAAUUUUAGAAGAAAACCAAGCCUACACAUGGAACUCUUCCACAGAAGUCUAAGUUGAAGUUGCACUUGAUUCUGAGACUUGGCUUCAAAUCCUGAUCUGCUGUUAUAGAAAAAGGCACCGAAGACCUCUGGAGCCUGUAGUAUUCCACAUGGUAAUGACAUAUUCUACCCAUAUUACAGCUGAGGGUAAAUGCAAGUACGCUGUUUUUUUCUACUACUAAUUCAGCUGCUUGGGCACUUCUCCUCUGGGUGUUACAAACUGGAACAUCAAACAAAAGUAAAAACCAUCCAGCUCUUAUUCCCAUUAAGCCCCUACUGCUGAGGCCAGGUGGAGAUCCCCCAGCUUAGGUUAGUAUAUGACUUCUCUAGUAGGACUAGGUUUAAGGUUUAUG